CUGAUAAAAGCAUUAGACUGUAAAUCUAAAGAUAGGGGUUUAAGUCCUCUUUUUGCCA
This 58-nucleotide transfer RNA is filed under the name Canis lupus (wolf). RNAcentral describes it as "partial tRNA-Tyr". It matches the Rfam family "tRNA", at positions 11 to 71 of the family's 71-position model. Rfam says of the family: Transfer RNA (tRNA) molecules are approximately 80 nucleotides in length. Their secondary structure includes four short double-helical elements and three loops (D, anti-codon, and T loops). Further hydrogen bonds mediate the characteristic L-shaped molecular structure. tRNAs have two regions of fundamental functional importance: the anti-codon, which is responsible for specific mRNA codon recognition, and the 3' end, to which the tRNAs corresponding amino acid is attached (by aminoacyl-tRNA synthetases). tRNAs cope with the degeneracy of the genetic code in two manners: having more than one tRNA (with a specific anti-codon) for a particular amino acid; and 'wobble' base-pairing, i.e. permitting non-standard base-pairing at the 3rd anti-codon position. Lineage: Eukaryota; Metazoa; Chordata; Mammalia; Carnivora; Canidae. The record is from RNAcentral.